This 475-nucleotide ribosomal RNA is filed under the name uncultured bacterium. RNAcentral's name for it is "bacterial SSU rRNA". It matches the Rfam family "Bacterial small subunit ribosomal RNA", at positions 28 to 500 of the family's 1533-position model. The record is from RNAcentral.
GAUGAACGCUGGCGGCGUGCUUAACACAUGCAAGUCGAACGAAGCACUCUAUUUGAUUUUCUUCGGAAAUGAAGAUUUUGUGACUGAGUGGCGGACGGGUGAGUAACGCGUGGGUAACCUGCCUCAUACAGGGGGAUAACAGUUGGAAACGACUGCUAAUACCGCAUAAGCGCACAGGAUCGCAUGAUCCGGUGUGAAAAACUCCGGUGGUAUGGGAUGGACCCGCGUCUGAUUAGCCAGUUGGCAGGGUAACGGCCUACCAAAGCGACGAUCAGUAGCCGACCUGAGAGGGUGACCGGCCACAUUGGGACUGAGACACGGCCCAAACUCCUACGGGAGGCAGCAGUGGGGAAUAUUGCACAAUGGGGGAAACCCUGAUGCAGCGACGCCGCGUGAGCGAAGAAGUAUUUCGGUAUGUAAAGCUCUAUCAGCAGGGAAGAAGAAUGACGGUACCUGACUAAGAAGCACCGGCUAA